CAAAAAGUGCUGGAUGAGGCCAACCACUCCUCGCUCGCUCACCGACGAAACGUUUUGGCUCGCUCACCUCCCUGUACGGUUGCCGGCCUCGCGAGCCACGGGCAGGGGCGAAGCUCGCCGUGCGCGCGGGCAAGGUCGCCGGCCGCUCGCCACGCCGUUGGAGCCGGCCGCCCCGCGCCACUGCAGCUCGGCCCACGUCGCGCCCUCGCCGCUGCGCUCGCCACGCCGUUGGAGCCGGCCGCCCCGCGCUGCAGCUCCGCCAGGGCCGUGCGCUGUAGCUCCGCGGGGCGCGCUGGCGUGCGGCUGACGAGCUGAGCAAAGUGAUCCAUGUGCGGCGGCCGGUAGCUGAACUAGAGCGAGACGAUAGCUGAACCGGUAGCAAACUUGACUAGCUAACAUGUAAGGGACUAGCUAGCUUUCUCCUCCAUCUCUUGCCUUCAGCUAGCUUGUGUUGAUUUCCUCUUCUUUUCUUUUUUACUGUUAAAGAUUUUUAUCCAUCUACUGUAUUUAGUAAUAGAGAAUUUGGUGAAAUGGAUUAGAAUUUUUAUCCCCAAUUAAGCUUAUUCAUAAUUUAGAGGUAUUCUCACCUUCCCAAUUGAAAAGGUAACUACAUCAGCUCGUCCAGUCUUCAUCCUCUGAACCAAACACAAAAUAGGCUAUCCCUAACCACCUUGUAACCUUUGUAACCAAACAGAAAAAAUGGCUACCACUAACCACAUGGUUAGGGAUAUCCUCAUCCCCUGAAUCAUAUCCCCUAAACCAAACAGCCCCUAAGGAAAAAAUCUGCCUAGUUGGGCCCGAUGUAUGAUACCCACUGCCUAUCCACCACGUCAGUAACUCGGCAAGGUUCGUGAUAAUGGUGGAGACAUGCGCGGCAACAUCUUAAGGGCGCGAUGCAAAUCUUGGCGGGUCGCCGCACGCACGAGCUCUCUUUAUCAUUCAUUCUCCAACAAUUAAUUGAUUCUCAAAUAUUUUUGAAGGAGAUCAAGAUGCAGAUAAGCAAUAUCAAUGAAUAGAUAGGCAAGAAUUGAUUUUUCUCCAAGAUUUGACAAUACAAUAGUAAUGCAAAAGAAUUAAGGAGACAACUCCAUUUUAGGCAAGACUUAAUUUCCCAAGAUUUUCCUUUUUCGUCUUUUUAAGGCAGGACCAAAUAUAUAGGCAAGAAUUAAUUGCCCAACAUUUUGUUGUCUCAGUUUUUAGGUGUAACCAAAUAGGCGAGACUUAAUUUCCAAAGAUUUUCAUUUGCCUCUAUAUUUAUGCGGAACCAAAUUAAUACCAAAUAAUGCAAGGCUUAAUUCUGCAAGAUUUUCUUUUUUCCUCUAUAUAAAUCUGAGCAAAAGGAAAAACAUUAUAGUAGCAAAAACUAAACAACAAGGACUAGCUAGUCUCUUCUCAUGGCUCUUAUGAUCCACACCACAAGGAAUCUAAGCAUAGCAAUUACGUUGGUCAUUUUUACGACGAUGGCAUGCCACAUAAAUACUGAGGCUUUUAAUCAGGCAACUUGUUACGAGAUGCCAAAAUGUGAGAUCGAGGAAUGUCGAGCGUACUGCAAGAACAAAGGUUACAACAUUAAAAUCAGCCAAUGUGACGAAAUACAUGCAACUCACUAUUGUUGUUGCGACGAUUAAACCAUAUAUGUAUCAUCUGAUGGAGCUAAUAAAUGAAUAAACUAUACUUUUGGUUCU
Long non-coding RNA from Lolium perenne, 1685 nucleotides. RefSeq lists it as uncharacterized. The record is from RefSeq and is a predicted model, not a curated record. NCBI's taxonomy places the organism in Eukaryota, Viridiplantae, Streptophyta, Magnoliopsida, Poales, Poaceae.